ACACGUCUACAUUAGAUACCCGCGUAGUCCCAGCCGUAAACUAUGCGCGUUAGGUGUAUCGGUGACCACGAGUUACCGAGGUGCCGAAGGGAAACCGUGAAACGUGCCGCCUGGGAAGUACGGUCGCAAGGCUGAAACUUAAAGGAAUUGGCGGGGAGCACCACAACAGGUGGAGCCUGCGGUUUAAUUGGACUCAACGCCGGGAAGCUCACCGGAUAGGACAGCAGAAUGAUUGCCGGGCUGAAGACCCUGCAUGACUAGCUG
Molecule: ribosomal RNA, 264 nt
Filed under: uncultured archaeon
Lineage: Archaea
Description: partial 16S ribosomal RNA
Rfam family: Archaeal small subunit ribosomal RNA
Source: RNAcentral